Drosophila persimilis is the source of this 211-nucleotide long non-coding RNA. RefSeq lists it as uncharacterized. The transcript has 3 exons. Lineage: Eukaryota; Metazoa; Arthropoda; Insecta; Diptera; Drosophilidae. The record is from RefSeq and is a predicted model, not a curated record.
GGAUCGUCUGGAGCUUGGCCAUUUGCAUGCUUGAAGUCAGUGGCCCCCAGACUGGCAAGGCAUACUGCCAUAUUGGGGCAAUCAGCUGCUUAUAGAGGAGGACCUUUGGAGGUAUGCCAUGACGGAUUUUUUGGCCAGGAGUUGCCCGGCUAACCUUGGAACUGGAGUGUGUUGCUGCACAGACCAUGAUAAUGCAUCAGCCAGGAGCCGC